This 199-nucleotide long non-coding RNA is filed under the name Setaria italica (foxtail millet). RNAcentral's name for it is "long non-coding RNA (SITA_LNC004300)". The record is from RNAcentral. Lineage: Eukaryota; Viridiplantae; Streptophyta; Magnoliopsida; Poales; Poaceae.
UCAAAGCAUGGUAAGACAAAUUACAUUCUUCAAUAAGACGGUUAGGAGGGACAACAGUCCUUUUGGACUUGCGUUUAGCAAUGGGUAGAUCCUCCUCUGGAGUUUGCUGGACAUCAUCAUGAGCAUCAGCCGACCCCGAGACUGAGGGGUCUGGCGCAUCAGCAACAGCCGACCCCGGAGCCAAGGGGUCUGGCGCAGC